Molecule: long non-coding RNA, 1058 nt
Organism: Gorilla gorilla gorilla (western lowland gorilla)
Lineage: Eukaryota; Metazoa; Chordata; Mammalia; Primates; Hominidae
Exons: 3
Source: RefSeq, a predicted model, not a curated record
GCUACCUUUCUGGAGAAGCCACAUGGAGAAGAGAGGUCCUGGAGGUUGGGAGGCCACAUGGAGAACUGAGGCAUCCCAGCUGACAGCCAGCACCAACUGCCAGCCACGUGAGCGUGCCUUAUUGGAAGUAGACCCUACAGCCCCAAUCAAAGCUUCAGAUGAUGCCUUGACUGACACCUUGACUACAACCUCAUGAGUCCCUGAGCCAGAACCAUCCAGCUAAACCACUCCCAAUCUGACCCACAGAAACUCUGAGAUAAUUCCUAAAGACCUGAACCAACCGGACACCCCACAGAACAUCACACCAAUGCAUUACGCUGAUUGAUGGUGUCAUGCUGAUCCAACAGGAUGAGCAAGAGAUGGCUAAACACUGGAAGCCUAGGAAGAGAAACUCAUGAAAACUCCAGAGGAGCUGCUUCCUGAGUUUAUAUGGAGAAGCGGGUCUGUGAGGACUAGAGAUGGACUGUGGAAGCCAUAGGAAUGCAGCACUCAGGUCUUGCUUCAAGAAAGAACCUGCUGGAAGGAUUGCAGUUAGCAGACGGUCUCCAGAUUCAGUAUCUUUGAGAUCGACCGCAGUGUUCAUGCUAGGGCAGCAUUCUCCCUAAGCUGUUCCCAGCCAAUGAUAGUUUGGCAGAAGUACUAGAGCCAAGCCAUUUCUGGCCAGCAUGGACAACUUUGUGGGCAAGCUUUGCGCUGGGGCCCCAGUUGGGCUUGACAAGAUGUUCUCAGAACCGCUUUACAGCCUGAAGCUCUUCCUACCCAGCCCUCCUUUCUUCUCACUCUCCUUUCAGAGACAUCAAAUCUACAAUGCAGUCUGAAGGCUCUUGCUGACCACUGCUGCUCCCUUUCCCCCUUAUCUUUCAAGGUCAGGAAAUCCAAUAAAUCUCUGGUGGUUUUAAUGCCAUCUUGGGGCCUGAAUUGACAUGCUAGCACUCCUCAUCAGAACGGGCAAAGCCCUUGGAACCUGCAUGGCCUUGAAGGUGAGAAUUGAAAAAGAGGGUUGGAAUUGCAAUUCCUAAAAAACAAACAUGAGUUUUUAAUUUUCUGUUGCUACUCUG